RNAcentral lists this unclassified non-coding RNA (604 nucleotides) under Hevea brasiliensis (rubber tree). Lineage: Eukaryota; Viridiplantae; Streptophyta; Magnoliopsida; Malpighiales; Euphorbiaceae. The record is from RNAcentral.
AAAAGCAUAACAUAUAAGAUUUGCAAAAUUCUUGAGAGUAGGGAAUGCAAACUGUGAAAAAUAGCUCCAUUGCGUUCUAUUACAGAUGGGAAUAUAUCCACCAUUAAGGCUCUAAAUAUUUGUCAUUAUGGGAAUGUCAACAAAGAUAAUAACUUCAUGUCACUAAAUGACCAGAUUAAUGAUCCCUCUAGUAACAAUGAUGAUUCAUUGUAUUACAAGCUUCAACCAUUAUCCUUCACACCAAAUUCCUAAGUCUGCAGACACAGCAUAUUACAAAUUUCAGGUAGCUACAAGGGUUGCUUGUCCUAGAACAAAAAGGCAAAGCAAUGGAUAUUUCUUGAAAUUCAUGACAUGAGCUAAGGAAAUGUUUUAUUUUAUCAUACAGUUAUAUAUAUAACAAAUGGGAAAAGGAAGCUAAGUGGAGAUCACACCAUUUACAUCCAAGGCAUUUGAGAACUGACCAGAAAAUGUGCAUAUUCAAUAUGAAAAAAGUGUUCACUGUUUUCUCAGACUGCUCCCAUCUUAAUUCCAAAGUUAGACUUGUUCAUUCAUCGUCUUGCUUGGCAAAAAUCAAAGGAAAUUCAUCAUCUUGCUCUGAGAAACC